Long non-coding RNA from Gigantopelta aegis, 823 nucleotides. RefSeq lists it as uncharacterized. The record is from RefSeq and is a predicted model, not a curated record. The transcript has 3 exons. Lineage: Eukaryota; Metazoa; Mollusca; Gastropoda; Neomphalida; Peltospiridae.
ACGCGUGUGUAUAUGCGCGCGCCUUUAUUUAUGUUUGAAUGCAAAUAUAGCAUUAACAGCCAUUACUAAUGAGUAAAUGCAUACCUGAAAGUUAAAAAUAAAAGAAGUGCAACUAUGGGACAAUUCUGAUGUGGAUAAAUUACUUAGCACGUAACAUGGCUGUACGUUGUUAAUACAGUGUACGUGUGUGUUCCAUAUGCUCUGUGUGUGAUUCACAGGCUAAAGUUCGCCCUUCAUGGAUGGGUAGACAUGACAAGUAGACGCUCGAUAUCAAGUUACACAUAGAACGUGCAGGCCAGCAGGACAGGAAUGUUGUUGACAAUAAGGGCGUCCGCGGUGACACGGUUACUGUUCUGUAUCCGUCUCCACCACAGUGAAAACAAUUUCAAAAUUCGUUUAUAAAGUGGCAGGGUAUUCGUGACACUUGAACGUAACUCGGUUGACGAGUGUCGUCCGACUCUCUUUCUGCAGGGUGAAGGAAACACAAGGGCAUUUCCACGAAAAACUUAACUUAGUAGUGAAUUUGUGAAUAUUAGUUUAAACUGUAUCGUCACCAAGAGAGUCCCACACUUAUUCUGUUAACAUUUUCAAGGAACCCCACACCAAAAGAACCAAAAGUAAAUUUAGACAUUCAUGGCAACUGAACCAAUGGAUUUGGAGUCAUUGAUUAGAUGUCGGAAAAUGAGAUCCUGAAGACAAACUGUUAAACAAAUUACAUUGCAUAUUGAUAUUGAGAACAGAAUGAUAGAAAUAAUAGAACAGUUUCAACUGAUAUGUGAAAGAAAAACUGGGGCAGUGGGUGAAAUUGCUGCUGAAAAUGAAA